Molecule: long non-coding RNA, 298 nt
Organism: Suricata suricatta (meerkat)
Lineage: Eukaryota; Metazoa; Chordata; Mammalia; Carnivora; Herpestidae
Exons: 3
Source: RefSeq, a predicted model, not a curated record
AAGAUGAAUGUAAUAUAGUUGUCUCAAAAUUAAUAUGUCCAAAAAUCAUGUUUCUUCUAGUCGCCAAGCAUCUUUUUCCUAUGGUCUUCAUCCAAGGUUCUGAGAAUUUGUCAGAAAUGUGAACUUGAAAGUGCUUCUGCUCUCAUGGAGGUGACAUUCUGGUUCAGAGAAACUAAGACCUGGAGUACCUGAGGAAUAUCACACAUAUCCCGCCUGGGGGUUUGGAGACUGUGUCCUGCCAGCUUGCUUCAUGCUCCCUCAUCAAUGUACUUUACCAAGAUAGCAUUCUCUCACUCAC